This is a long non-coding RNA of Syzygium oleosum, 580 nucleotides long. RefSeq lists it as uncharacterized. The transcript has 2 exons. Lineage: Eukaryota; Viridiplantae; Streptophyta; Magnoliopsida; Myrtales; Myrtaceae. The record is from RefSeq and is a predicted model, not a curated record.
AAAUAUGCUUCCAAAUGAUCGAGAUAUUUUUUUGCAACUUUAUGAUGAUGAAGCGAGGUCUGCUAAUUUAGCAAGAUUACGGAUGGCAUUAUUGGGGUUAGCUCAUCCUAACUUUCAAGGUUUGUGUAGCUUCUUAGUUUCUGACAGUUCUUGUGUUGAUAUUACUUGAUGAUUUGGCACUUGAAUCAGGUGUGCGUGCUACCCCAAUACUUGAAGUGGCAUGCCAAAAUGUGGAGUAUGUAGUUGGGAUUGGGGAAUUCGCGGGAUCAACACCUCAGUCAAGAAGGGCAACCAUGAUUAGAAAUUUCGGAAUAUAUAGAAGACUGGCUGAGGCUUUAGUAGGGCAUGCACUUGCCAAUUGCAAGAUUUUGAUCUUUAGCCACCUCGCCAGCAUAAGGGCAAGGGUUGUUCAUCAUUUUGCACCGUUGCCACCUCUGGGAAACAUCACUAGUCUGACGAGAGCAGACCAGGACAUGGCUGCGUUUUUUAUAGCUGAUAGAAUAGAUGUUGAGCCUGAGAAUGUGCAAAAUUUGAUUUGUUGGGGAAUCAAUUCCUCUAUACAACACGUGGACAUCACUCA